This 460-nucleotide ribosomal RNA is filed under the name uncultured bacterium. RNAcentral describes it as "partial 16S ribosomal RNA". It matches the Rfam family "Bacterial small subunit ribosomal RNA", at positions 338 to 795 of the family's 1533-position model. The record is from RNAcentral.
CCUACGGGAGACAGCAGUGAGGAAUAUUGGUCAAUGGGCGCGAGCCUGAACCAGCCAAGUCGCGUGAGGGAGGACGGCCCUACGGGUUGUAAACCUCUUUUGCCGGGGAGCAACGGGCGCCACGAGUGGCGUCACUGAGAGUACCCGGAGAAAAAGCAUCGGCUAAGUCCGUGCCAGCAGCCGCGGUAAUACGGAGGAUGCGAGCGUUAUCCGGAUGUGUUGGGGGUAAGGGGUGCGUAGGCGGAUCGUUAAGUCAGUGGUCAAAUUGAGGGGCUCAACCCCUUCCCGCCAUGGAAACUGGCGAUCUUGAGUGGAAGAGAAGUAGGCGGAAUGCGUGGUGUAGCGGUGAAAUGCAUAGAUAUCACGCAGAACCCCGAUGGCGAAGGCAGCAUGCCGGCUUCCGACUGACGCUGAAGCACGAAAGCGUGGGGAUCGAACAGGAUUAGAUACCCUGGUAGUC